This 618-nucleotide long non-coding RNA is filed under the name Homo sapiens (human). Its description in RNAcentral is "non-protein coding lnc-GOLGA8N-7:1". Lineage: Eukaryota; Metazoa; Chordata; Mammalia; Primates; Hominidae. The record is from RNAcentral.
GUGAAAACACUUCAAGGACCUGAAAAAAAAAAAAUGGUGAAAAAGCGAACAACCUUCCUUGCAAAACAACUCCAGAUGAGUAGGAACGUAUAAUGACCCUGCAGCAGGAGAACGAGAGAGGGGGAAGAAGGAAAUGGAGGGUGUAAGUGAAUUAAUUGACUGUAACAUGUUUAAUGAAAUAAGUAGACGUGUGAUGCAAAUUUCUUAAUAGUCAAACGUUAUGCAACAUAUGAUGCAUAAGAAUUGUACUAUCUCAAAUUUUUUUUAAUGUGAGAUUCUCUUGAUGCCACUUUCAUUUACCUACACACACACAAAUAGCACAAAUCACAUAUACAUAUACUGACACGAAAAUAUAUAUGUGGGAGGGAGAGAAAGAGGGAGGAUAACUUUAAUCAUGAUACACUGCCAAUAUAAGAACUCCCUUUUGGCCAGGCGCGAUGGCUCACACCUGUAAUCCCAGCACGUUGGGAGGCUGAGGAGGGCGGAUCACGAGGUCAGGAGAUGGAGACCAUCCUGGCUAACACGGUGAAACCCCGUCUCUACUAAAAACACAAAAAAAAUUAGCCGGGCGUGGUGGCGGGCGCCCGUAGUCCCAGCUACUCAGGAGGCUGAGGCAGG